UACGGAGGAUGCAAGCGUUAUCCGGAAUGAUUGGGCGUAAAGCGUCCGCAGGUGGCUAUGUAAGUCUGCUGUUAAAGAGUGAGGCUCAACCUCAUAAGAGCAGUGGAAACUACAUGGCUAGAGUGCGUUCGGGGCAGAGGGAAUUCCUGGUGUAGCGGUGAAAUGCGUAGAGAUCAGGAAGAACACCGGUGGCGAAAGCGCUCUGCUAGGCCGCAACUGACACUGAGGGACGAAAGCUAGGGGAGCAAACAGG
Molecule: ribosomal RNA, 253 nt
Filed under: uncultured bacterium
Lineage: Bacteria
Description: partial 16S ribosomal RNA
Rfam family: Bacterial small subunit ribosomal RNA
Source: RNAcentral